Molecule: ribosomal RNA, 281 nt
Filed under: uncultured Acetobacterium sp.
Lineage: Bacteria; Bacillati; Bacillota; Clostridia; Eubacteriales; Eubacteriaceae
Description: partial 16S ribosomal RNA
Rfam family: Bacterial small subunit ribosomal RNA
Source: RNAcentral
AACCCCUCGUGGUUAGUUGCCAUCAUUUAGUUGGGCACUCUAAGCAGACUGCCGUGGAUAACACGGAGGAAGGUGGGACGACGUCAAAUCAUCAUGCCCCUUAUGACCUGGGCUACACACGUGCUACAAUGGUCUGAACAGAGGGCUGCGAAACCGCGAGGUGAAGCUAAUCCCUUAAAACAGAUCUCAGUUCGGAUUGCAGGCUGCAACUCGCCUGCAUGAGGUUGGAGUUGCUAGUAAUCGCAGAUCAGAAUGCUGCGGUGAAUGCGUUCCCGGGUCUU